UUUGCUGUGUGUUAGUUAUUGUUAGCAUACAGAGUGUGCGUGCGCGUGUGCAUGGUCACCGCGCCUGUACGUGGGCUAGGUAGUGCGUGAGUGGGUUUGUGUUCGUGUAGUAGUGGCACACGAUCUGGCCUCGUGGGCGUCCUGUAACUGUAUAUAUACGCCCUCCGAUGGCUGAUGCAAAGUGUGUUGAACCUCAUUCCUGCUUUCAUGGUAUCAGAGCCACGGAGCACCUGCAAAACGGGCGAAGCAGCGGCAGGUGGUGGUGGUGAAGGCGGAGCUGGGUUAGGAGCGGCGAACGGGAAGCUGAGCUCAUCAAACCGAACAUGGCGAGAGGUGAGCACACGCCGCGUAACAGGGUCAAAGCAGCGAUAGCCGCGAUGGCUGGUCUUCUGCGACAAUGUGUCGGCCGUCUACCUCUCCAGCAACCCUGUGGACCACCGGCGUACCAAGCAUAUCGAGCUGGACAUCCUCUUCGUUCGGGAGCGCGUGGCGCUCGGCGAGUUCCGCGUCCUUCACGUCCCUACGCGUCAGCAGUUCGCCGACGUGAUGACGAAAGGAUUGCCCACUGAUGUCUUCAGGGAAUUUCGUUCCAGCUUGUGCGUCUCUACACCCGACGCUCCAGCUGCGGGGGUGUGUUAGCAUACAGAGUGUGCGUGCGCGUGUGCAUGGUCACCGCGCCUGUACGUGGGCUAGGUAGUGCGUGAGUGGGUUUGUGUUCGUGUAGUAGUGGCACACGAUCUGGCCCCGUGGGCGUCCUGUAACUGUAUAUAUACGCCCUCCGAUGGCUGAUGCAAAGUGUGUUGAACCUCAUUUCUGCUUUCAGUUAUGUCUAUAACAGUCACCAAAUAAAAAGUGGGCAUGCCAAAUACUGUGCUUGGCAUUUCUUGUAAGCAGGUCAUGACUAGAUAUGUUACCAUUUUUCAUGAAUUAGUUUAUAUAAACUUCAUCAUAAGUUUCGGCCACCACUCCUCUCCCCGGGCACCACCCCUGCCUCGCCCAGAUCUGCCGAGUGGGUAGGAACAGCUGGUCAUCCUAUACAUGACAUGUGUUGUUUAAUUUUGAUUGGGUAUUAUUCUCUUCUGUUCGUGUAGUAGAUACAUGUUGGAGACUGCUGGCCCCGCCUUUGAUACUCCAGUUCUGAUUAUUAGUCUCCCCUUUUAACAUUU
This 1166-nucleotide long non-coding RNA is filed under the name Triticum aestivum (bread wheat). RNAcentral describes it as "long non-coding RNA (TAES_LNC013044)". Lineage: Eukaryota; Viridiplantae; Streptophyta; Magnoliopsida; Poales; Poaceae. The record is from RNAcentral.